This is a long non-coding RNA of Numida meleagris (helmeted guineafowl), 5434 nucleotides long. RefSeq lists it as uncharacterized. The transcript has 6 exons. The record is from RefSeq and is a predicted model, not a curated record. Lineage: Eukaryota; Metazoa; Chordata; Aves; Galliformes; Numididae.
UGUGAAGGGUGUAGCCCGCCAGCCCUGGAAACAUAGGUGGAAGCAAUUCAUCUAUGAGACUGGAAGGGAUAGACCCUAGCUCCACCCAUCUCUGACCUCAGUUAAGGGCUGCUAGCUGGAAGGGAAGCAUCACUACUUGGAGGUUGCCUCCUUUGGAGUGUUUGGUGAGCCCUGAUCCUGGGAAAUGGAAGUCUCUAAGGAUGCUGCAGACCUAUCAGCUGUCAAAACAGCAUUCUCCAGCUUGUGCACAGCUUAAACAAACACACUUCCACCUGCCAAAUUCAAUUGCACAGAGGAACCACCAGCUGACCAGUAUGAAAAGAAAGGAGGAAGCAGAUGUGGAAAAACAGGUAGGUGGAAAUGAUACAUCCAGAAAGACAGUGCCACCCCAGCCCUGCACAAGAAGCCCACAUUGUGAGCAUAGAGAAACAGAAUUUGCUCUAUUGGUAGUGAGGAGUUGGCUUUAAGGCCACCUCUUGCUGCAACGUUUUUCUUCUGAGGCUCAGCUUCCACUUCCGUAUGGUUUCUAGACCUAAGAGUUACUAAUGAAAGAAAGCAAUGUGCAGAACAAUGCUGUCAGCUAUGCAAAACCCCCAAUGCUUCCACAGACGUUUAAUUGAACAGGUUCUUGGGUCCAGCUUAGCACAGGAUGCUGCUGCACGGGGAGAAGUGCUUGCCCCACCUCACUUCAGGAUGCUUAUCUGGAUGAUGGUGAGGGGAAGGCCGCUGACUGGGAUGAACCACUCUCCUGUCCAUUGAUUUGGAGUGUUUUGCAGCCUCUGGAAUGGUGCAUGGUGGAAGAGGAUUGAGGCCAUGUAGCCCAUUCUUCUGCACUGAGAUGAAAACAGCCACACUAAUCUUUUUUGAUGAUUCCCAGUGAAGGAGAUCCUACAAGCACCUUGGCAAGUGAUUCCAGUGUAUUCUUACCACUGUUAUUUGCUUGUUUUUCCUCAUAUCCAAAUAUUUUUCGCGGAAAUUUAAAUGCCCUACUUUUGCCCUGCCUUGCCCUACCCUGCCCUGCCCAUCAUGGGGAACAAAUUAUGUCCAUCCUCUGAAGGCUGAACAUCUUCUCUCUGAAUUCUUUGUAAUAUAGUCCAUGAGCUUCUUGGUGUGCAUUGCCCACAAUUGAAAAUACAUCAGUUGUGACCUUAUUGGUGUAGAGGGCAGCUCAGAAUGUAUUUUGGUUUAUACACUGCAGUGUGGUAUCUGCAUUUGCACAACAGCAUAGUCUCUUUUGCUUUGAUUCUGCCUGACUUCCUAGCACUGCUCCUGGGGGGGCAGCCCCGUACUGCCCUCUCUGUGCUUAUAUACCUUCUUUCAUGACAGUUAUGACAGAAGCAAACAUUAGUUUGAACCAGGACUUGCCUGUUGGUUUGUGUAGGUGGUUUGUUGCAGAUGACAGGGGAGGCAGAAUUUACAAUCUGGAUGAAAAGCAGUUUUCAAAUGGAGUCUGAGGCCCAGCUGCCUGUUAGCACGUGGUCUACCCAUUACAAGUCUGGACUGAGGAGAAGCAGUUGCUUCCUCCCUAUCUUCGUAUCUGCUCCUGCUUCUUGCUUCAGUCCAUGGUUCUUACUGAGACUUCAUCCUAUGUGCUGUCACCAGAGAAGCUCCAUGAAGCAGGCAAACUCAGCUUUCCCAAAGUGCUGCUGCCAGGAAAAGGAGACCUGUCCCAGUAGUGUGAAACUGCACUGGGAACUGCUGAAGUAGCGGCCUGUUGUUGGAAGGAGCUCUUUGGCACAAAUCCUUCUUUCUUCCCCAGGAUUCCUGUCACACUUUCAGUGCUGGUUCUGGUUCCAUUCCAGGGAGGAACUUCAGAACAGGCUGAACCGGUGCUACAGAAUGGUUUGGAAGAAAUUCUCUUGAGGAAAGGAGGCUAGUGUUUCCAUCUUCCAGGGAAUGGGAGGAGACAACAUAGGGAUGUUCAUCCAGAAGUCCUGGGGCACAAGAGAGGAAUAUUUAUUUUUCCCAACAGAUGUUGUGAGAGUGAGUAUUUUCCUGUGUAUACUGAGAACUCAAUAUUGCCCUCAGGAGCUACUAAAUCCAUGUGUGCUCCCAGAACAGAAAUGAGAGAGAAAAGACAGAGAACUGCCUUUUCUUUGUAGUUAGAUUUUAGCCAUUUGGAGCAAUUCUUUUUUCCUGCUAUGGGUUUUAGUUCUUUGGGAGGAUUCAUAUGUUAGCUGAAGGAGCUUUGCUAAAGCUGCUGAGGAUAUGAGGAAAUCUGGGCAAACUUACUGUAGGACUACACGCUGACAAUUAGGAAAUGUCCAUAUAGCUAUCAACAGGGUUUUUCAGGCCUAUCUCAUUCAUUGCUGUUCUGCAAAUGAGCAAGUGGAAACAGAUGUGAUAAAGAGAUAUUUGUGUAUUGUAUGUUGGCAUAUGGAGAACUAAACCUAGGAAGUUCUGCCAAAAUUAUUCUGAAGAAGUGUUUUAUUCACCUUGUUGAGAGUGCUUAUUUUUCCAUCUUGCUUCAUGUGAAUUCUAAGAUGAUAAUUUUAAGAUAUCAAUCUUAAAAUUUCUCUUUUUGGAAUGAGGGAGCAUAGAAAUAAGUGGGGAAAAAAAAAGAAAAGAAAAAAUAACUUAAUAAUGAUUAAAAGAUAUAUGAGGGUGACUGAUUUUCUUUUUUUUUUCAAAUUUUCCUGUAUCUUUUUUGUACUCGUACCAAACUUGGCCUCAGAUAAAUGAAAGCAAAUCUCAGACUUAUGAGAUGUUAUGCAAAAUGUGAUGAAAAGAUUAUCCUAACCUUGUGACUUGCUGAAGGUCAGGUUUUCUCUUCAUAUAAGUUUUCCUUCUUAGCCAAAUUCAGGACAAUUGUGGAUAGGAUUCUCAGUUGGUGGAAUUAAGCAUAUAAACUUAUCACAUACAAAUCAAUGGAGACUUAGAUAACUUCUUAGGAGAUGCAGCAAUAGUAUCUACCUCUUUCAGGGUUUCUUCCCCUCAAUUCUUUGGAAAUCCGCUCAAGGAUGUAACUAUUUGAAGGUGAAUGGAUCUGGUGGUGAACUCAGUGGGAUCACUGCCAUUCCAGGGCUAUGGGCUGACCCUACCCAUCUAUUGCUUUCUCUUCACUGGGACUACAGGGCAUUCAGCCCCAUGGCCAAAUAUGUGCAGUGUCCUUCCUUGCAGCACCUGCAGGCAAACUAAGACUACUGCCUCAUCCAAGCACUCUCUUUCUGAGUCUCAGCUGGGAAAUGUUGGCCAUACAGUGGGCAAUGAGUAAGUGCUCUUUAUUGUCCAUGGUUCAGAACUGUUUCCCUCUUUUACCCCCAUAUUUUGCUGGUCAGCACUAGGGGAUAGAGGUUUAUAGCCCUGAAGAAAGUGUAGCGAGGUAAGCACUGAUCAUUGCCACAUAGCAGAUGUUCCCCGGCUGACAACAAAAUUAUUCUGAGUUUGAUGGGAAAGGUAAGGCUUAUCUGACUGAUCUUUUGACCUAACUUUACAGUACAAUGUUUAUCAAACACCUUACUCUUAUGUAGUGUAUGUCCUGCAAGAAUAAUUUUAUUUAGGACAUAUUUUCCACCAAAUCAUGUAUAUUCAAGCACAAAAGGAGAGAAUUAGGAGUCUGUUUUUAAAAAUCUGGCAGUUUUCUGAAAUCGCACAGAUACUGCUUUUCAUAGCAAAAGCUGGAAAAUAUUUGAGGUAUGUAUUUGGGUUUGGCACGGUGAUCUUAAACAUCAGUUGCUCAGAAUAUUUUAUUUGUGGAAAAUCAGUGGGGAAGAAAGAGACCCCUCUCUCUAGACAUUUGAAACUGACAGGAAAUAAAUCAAUCAGCACGUGGAUUGUUGUGGCUUUCUCUUAAAAAUAACACAUUUUCCCUGUGCCGGAGACAAUAGUUUAGUGUGUUAAAUUAUGUGCUGCAAUCUGGAAGGCAAAACUUUCCAUAAAACUGUCAGUAGAUCAUAAGCCUGCUCACUGUAAUAGCACAUUUUUCUGCUUCUACAAUAUUCUUCUGGUACAACACGCACUACACACUGCCCGUAAGUGUUAUCUGUGAAUGAUGCUUUGGUUGUGCAUCCCCAUAUUACACUGUCCUUGAGAAACUUGUAGUCAUUGCACCUCUGACAGUGUGGAAGGUGGCUGUCACUAAAAGCAGUGUAAUUAAUUGAAGGCAGAUGAGCCUUGAUGUGAAGAUCUUUUAUUCCACUUUCCCAUUUGUGAGCACAAUGGUAGCAUGCAUCAUAAGUAAAAACAGUCAUUUUCAGGGCAUUGCUAGAGAGAUAUUUCUGAGGAUAAACACAGGAUUAAUUUUCCAUGAGAAAAAUGGAGGACCAAAUAAAAUGUGUUAAGGGAUGAAAUAUGUCCACCAUUUCCCUAGCAAAAUCAGUUAUUCUGCAACCUGCAUGUAUACACUUGAAAUAGAUAAAUAAGACACUUGUAAGAGAGAAUGUCAUCAGUAUAUUUUUUUUUUGUAAGACUUCACUGUUAUAAAAAAUACUGCAGAUACAGAAUACGGUGAGUGCUUUUCACCUUAAACUUUAAACUGGGAGUGAGUGCUGAAGUCAGAUUUUCACCUUAGCAAUCCUCACUUAAAUAUCUUAAGUCUUAUUCAAGGAAAGUCAAAUAUUACAUCUAAAGUGAAAUAAGCUCUAAACAGACUUUUGGCUUUGAAGUUUUUAGAGAUCUGUAAUAAUAAAAUGUACACUUUCAGCCUUCUGAGCCUAUUGACUCAGGAUGAGAGAGAAUUCUUAUCAUUGGUUUAAAAAUAACAGGCUGUUAGUUUGGUACUGCAGAUCUUUUCAGCUUAAGCUACUGAAUCACAAAGUGAUGGAGAGGUUGAAAAGAUGAGGAUUUUAUGGAUGUUCUCAUUCUCAAAAAUAUUACAAUUAAUAAAAAGUAUUUAGAAGUUGGGAGAAAAAAAUCUCUGAAUUAUAUAGGCUAUUUCUAGAGAAAAAUCUAUCAGUUACAAUAAAAUUGCUGUCUGAAGUGAACAUUCCAAAAGCAGAAGGCUAUUAUUUCAUAUAAAUGUGAAGCUUAAAAUAAUGUUUAGAAAGCUGCAUUUUUUUUUCUGCCUGCUCAUAAAUUAGAGUUCAGUUCCACUCCACUGAAGGACUAGCUGUGCUUUCAGAAGAAAAGCUUGGAGACUAAAAUAAUAAUGAAGAAAGAGUUGAAAUAUCUUGUUUAAAAUUUAAGUAAAUACCUGUAAGUAUAUCCAGAAGAGCAAAAUUUUGCAUAAAUGUUCUGAUUCUUUUGCAAUCUAUUUAAUUUAAAUAUAACAUGAUGCAGUUAAGAAAAAUGCAAUUCAGUCUCUCAGGUAAAUGUUAUUACUUACCUCCUAUGGAAAGAACUUUUUGAUAGGAUGUGAUCAUUAAACCACACUGGAAACAGAGACCUUAGCAACAUCAUAGAAUCAUUCAAGUUUGAAGGGACCUUUAAAGGUCAUUAAUACAACCUUCCUGCAAUGAACAGGGAUACCUACAGCUAGAUCAGGUUGCUCAGAACC